This 790-nucleotide ribosomal RNA is filed under the name uncultured bacterium. RNAcentral's name for it is "bacterial SSU rRNA". It matches the Rfam family "Bacterial small subunit ribosomal RNA", at positions 8 to 786 of the family's 1533-position model. The record is from RNAcentral.
AGAGUUUGAUCAUGGCUCAGAGUGAACGCUGGCGGCAGGCCUAACACAUGCAAGUCGAACGGCAGCACAGAGGAGCUUGCUCCUUGGGUGGCGAGUGGCGGACGGGUGAGGAAUGCAUCGGAAUCUGCCUAUUUGUGGGGGAUAACGUAGGGAAACUUACGCUAAUACCGCAUACGUCCUACGGGAGAAAGUGGGGGACCUUCGGGCCUCACGCAGAUAGAUGAGCCGAUGCCGGAUUAGCUAGUUGGCGGGGUAAAGGCCCACCAAGGCGACGAUCCGUAGCUGGUCUGAGAGGAUGAUCAGCCACACUGGAACUGAGACACGGUCCAGACUCCUACGGGAGGCAGCAGUGGGGAAUAUUGGACAAUGGGCGCAAGCCUGAUCCAGCCAUGGCCGCGUGUGUGAAGAAGGCCUUCGGGUUGUAAAGCACUUUUGUCCGGAAAGAAAAGCGCUCGAUUAAUACUCGGGUGUUAUGACGGUACCGGAAGAAUAAGCACCGGCUAACUUCGUGCCAGCAGCCGCGGUAAUACGAAGGGUGCAAGCGUUACUCGGAAUUACUGGGCGUAAAGCGUGCGUAGGUGGUUUGUUAAGUCUGAUGUGAAAGCCCUGGGCUCAACCUGGGAACUGCAUUGGAAACUGGCUUACUAGAGUGCGGUAGAGGGGUGUGGAAUUCCCGGUGUAGCAGUGAAAUGCGUAGAUAUCGGGAGGAACAUCUGUGGCGAAGGCGACACCCUGGACCAGCACUGACACUGAGGCACGAAAGCGUGGGGAGCAAACAGGAUUAGAUACC